UCAAGAACCCCUCACACAACUCUCUCACUUACCAUUCAUCCACUCAGCCGCUUCAAAAAAACGAAAACCCUCUCUCGAUUUCUCCAUCUCCCUCUCUCGUUUUCUCCCUCUCUCCCUGAACAUCCAAACGCAACACGGAGGAAUGCUCCCAGCCGUCUUCUCCGAUAUCCCUCUCUCAAUUCGUCUCCGGUCGUGUUCGAUGUAGAAUGAGAUGAGGAUCGAAACUGAUGUCGUGAUGAUGCAAAGUGAAGUUCGAACUGUAUUAUAUUUCUUGUUCUCACUUCUCUCACUCAUUCAUUCCCAGAUUUCUUUAUUUUUAAUUUAGGGUUUGUGAUGAUUGUUGUCCUUUACAUGUGAGUAAAGGACUUUGAACCAAUAAUCCCACUUUAUACGUGAUUAGGGUUUGCUGACUUCUUUUAUUUCUUUAUGCAGCUUCCAACUCAGUUAUAUAUGGCAGUGGUAAGGACUCUAGCUGAAGAAUAAUGAGUUAUGUUACCUAGGAAAUCGUUAUUGUUAUAUGAAUUUCCAUUUCUCAAUUAGACUGUACGAUGUUACAUUUUUACUGAUGUAUUGAUAUGCAGCUGUAUACCUUUGUAACUGUAGCACUUGGUUCACAAUCCAUUUACUAUGGAUACAUAUACAAGAGACAACUCAAGAUGCAAAUUCGUAUCCCUAUGCUGAGAUACAUUCAGUAAACUCAAAUUGUGUAAUGCAAUACUUUCAUCUGUAUUCUAUCAUUGCAUGAAUAAGCAGGUUGAGACACCAACAAAAGUCAGUGAUGCUGAACAGAGUCAUGAAUUUGAUUAUUUCAGUAGAGGCGCUGUUCUGAGUUCUCCUAUUCCUCGUCCAGCACACCUUCCAAGCAUAUCUACCGGAAGAGAAUUAUUCUACCAGUUAGCAUUGAGGUAGGAAGAAUGAUUUCUGCUUUACAUACAAACUUGCACCAUAUAUUUGACCAAGAGCUAUUGAUUUUUGAACAAAUGUAUCAAGAUUUGCGUCAAGAGUCAACGAGGAUAGAGAGUCAAUACGAACUCGUUUGGAUUCUGGUUGUGGAAAAGGGAACUGCGUGGACCAAAACGAAGCCGAAGUUUGAGAGGCUGCAAUCAAUGAUGCCAUGGUACCCAGUUUAUGACCCUUCGCACAGUGGGAGGCAGCCACUCAGUUGCUAUCUGCAACUAUGAUUAUCCAUGCCCAUUCAGUGCCUCCUACUUCAGUGUCUACUCUGUUUCUGCGUCCAUGGUUUCAAGAAGAUAUAGAAUGUUGGAUGGAAAGUGGAUUCAACAUGGUUUCAAGAAGAUAUUGAAUGUUUAAUCUUCUAGAAAUUAUGUUUAACGAUUUGAGUUUCAUGUAUAUCUGUUCAUUCCUGUCUUUAAAGAUUAUGUGUAGUUUCUCAGACUACACAAUACUAACACAUGCCUUUUAAAUUUAUAUGCAUUGGCCAAAACAGUUCUUUUAU
Molecule: long non-coding RNA, 1456 nt
Organism: Vicia villosa (hairy vetch)
Lineage: Eukaryota; Viridiplantae; Streptophyta; Magnoliopsida; Fabales; Fabaceae
Exons: 4
Source: RefSeq, a predicted model, not a curated record